CGAUAGUGCCGCGCUACACCUUCCCCCGGA
RNAcentral lists this small RNA (30 nucleotides) under Bombyx mori (domestic silkworm). RNAcentral's name for it is "ovarian small RNA-14255". Lineage: Eukaryota; Metazoa; Arthropoda; Insecta; Lepidoptera; Bombycidae. The record is from RNAcentral.